Long non-coding RNA from Myotis daubentonii (Daubenton's bat), 854 nucleotides. RefSeq lists it as uncharacterized. The record is from RefSeq and is a predicted model, not a curated record. The transcript has 4 exons. Lineage: Eukaryota; Metazoa; Chordata; Mammalia; Chiroptera; Vespertilionidae.
CUGGGAAUCGAGCGGAGCCGCGCUUUUAAGCUCCACGACCUUAUCUCUCAUACCUCAGCCGCCUGGCCUGAAGCGAAGCUGUCUUGCCCGAGAAGAGAGUGGUCACGGUGUCGCGUGGUAACAAAGCUUAGGACGAGGAGAGCCUACAUGAGAAAGGACGUCCUCCGGUUUCUAGACAUUGGAAAGUCGAAGAUUAAGGUCCCAGCCUAUUCUGUUCCCUGUCCAGGACCCUUUUCCUGUCUUGCAGAAGAGAGGAAGGGAAAGGGAGAGAAAAUCAUUGAUCGCUGCCUUCUGCACACCUCCUACUGUGGAUGGAACCUGCAACCCAGACAUGUGCCCUGACCGUGAUUUGAAUCGUGACUCCUAGUGUCAUAGAUCAAUACCCAACCACUGAGCUACACCAAGUCUCCCAUCAGGAUAAAGCAGCAUCUGUCAUGCAAAUACCGCCCUGUGCAGAAGUGAGGGAAGACUGCUGCAGAAGUGAAUACAGGCAACAUCUUUGAUCCCAGGGCACAGGUCUUUGAGAGGAAAUCUCCAAGCCUCUCGAAGAGGCAUUAGAAGGCUAUCCAGGCAGCAAAAGUACCUCAGGUGAAAUGCAGGGAGUUUCUGUAUAAGGGCUUUCGUAUUCUGCAUUCUUCUAGAGCCCUUUGUGAUAAAUGUCGCUGGGUGGAUUGCAUGAUUUGGUGUGGCUUCAUGGGGAUAUGCACAUGAUAGAGAACAUGAUCUCUGCUUGCCAAAUAAUGUAGAGCCUAAGGAGAAAAUCCGUAAUCAGUAUUGAGACUGCUCUUAAGAACUGUUCUAGAUUUCAAGCCCGUUCUUCCUGGUUCAUCAGAGAACUACCAGAUAUUUUUCUC